AUGUUCCCCCCGUACACUCCAGUUCCUCCGCGCAGUCCGCGCCCACCUGACGGCUGCUCGCUACGUUUUGUUAGCC
RNAcentral lists this small RNA (76 nucleotides) under Xanthomonas campestris. Its description in RNAcentral is "sRNA sX9". It matches the Rfam family "Xanthomonas sRNA sX9". The record is from RNAcentral. Lineage: Bacteria; Pseudomonadati; Pseudomonadota; Gammaproteobacteria; Lysobacterales; Lysobacteraceae.